GCUCCAGACUCCUACGGGAGGCAGCAGUGGGGAAUAUUGCACAAUGGGCGAAAGCCUGAUGCAGCGACGCCGCGUGAGUGAAGAAGUAUUUCGGUCUGUAAAGCUCUAUCAGCAGGGAAGAAAAUGACGGUACCUGACUAAGAAGCCCCGGCUAACUACGUGCCAGCAGCCGCGGUAAUACGGAGGAUCCGAGCGUUAUCCGGAUUCAUUGGGUUUAAAGGGUGCGUAGGUUGUUUUAUAAGUUAGCGGUGAAAUACCGAUGCUCAACAUCGGGGCUGCCGCUAAUACUGUAGGACUAGAGAUCGGAUGCAGCAGGCGGAAUGUGUAGUGUAGCGGUGAAAUGCAUAGAUAUUACACAGAACACCGAUUGCGAAGGCAGCUUGCUAGGCCGGAUCUGACACUGAUGCACGAAAGCGUGGGGAUCGAACAGGAUUAGAUACCCGCGUA
Molecule: ribosomal RNA, 447 nt
Filed under: uncultured bacterium
Lineage: Bacteria
Description: bacterial SSU rRNA
Rfam family: Bacterial small subunit ribosomal RNA
Source: RNAcentral